Molecule: ribosomal RNA, 460 nt
Filed under: uncultured bacterium
Lineage: Bacteria
Description: partial 16S ribosomal RNA
Rfam family: Bacterial small subunit ribosomal RNA
Source: RNAcentral
CCUACGGGAGGCAGCAGUGAGGAAUAUUGGUCAAUGGACGAGAGUCUGAACCAGCCAAGUAGCGUGAAGGAUGACUGCCCUAUGGGUUGUAAACUUCUUUUAUAAAGGAAUAAAACGAGGCACGUGUGCCCUUUUGCAUGUACUUUAUGAAUAAGGAUCGGCUAACUCCGUGCCAGCAGCCGCGGUAAUACGGAGGAUCCGAGCGUUAUCCGGAUUUAUUGGGUUUAAAGGGAGCGUAGAUGGGUUGUUAAGUCAGUUGUGAAAGUUUGCGGCUCAACCGUAAAAUUGCAAUUGAUACUGGCAGUCUUGAGUACAGUUGAGGUAAGCGGAAUUCGUGGUGUAGCGGUGAAAUGCUUAGAUAUCACGAAGAACCCCGAUUGCGAAGGCAGCUUACUAAACUGUGACUGACAUUGAUGCUCGAAAGUGUGGGUAUCAAACAGGAUUAGAUACCCCAGUAGUC